AGAGUUUGAUUAUGGCUCAGGAUGAACGCUGGCGGCGUGCCUAAUACAUGCAAGUCGAGCGAACCACUUCGGUGGGAAGCGGCGAACGGGUGAGUAACACGUAGGUGAUCUGCUCAUCAGACGGGGACAACGAUUGGAAACGAUCGCUAAUACCGGAUAGGACGAAAGUUUAAAGAUGCUUCUGGCAUCACUGAUGGAUGAGCCUGCGGCGCAUUAGCUAGUUGGUGGGGUAAAGGCCUACCAAGGCGACGAUGCGUAGCCGACCUGAGAGGGUGAACGGCCACACUGGGACUGAGACACGGCCCAGACUCCUACGGGAGGCAGCAGUAGGGAAUCUUCGGCAAUGGGCGAAAGCCUGACCGAGCAACGCCGCGUGAAUGAAGAAGGCCUUCGGGUUGUAAAAUUCUGUUAUAAGGGAAGAAAGGUGAUAGGAGGAAAUGACUAUCAAUUGACGGUACCUUAUGAGAAAGCCACGGCUAACUACGUGCCAGCAGCCGCGGUAAUACGUAGGUGGCAAGCGUUAUCCGGAAUUAUUGGGCGUAAAGAGCGCGCAGGUGGUUAAUUAAGUCUGAUGUGAAAGCCCACGGCUUAACCGUGGAGGGUCAUUGGAAACUGGUUGACUUG
This 624-nucleotide ribosomal RNA is filed under the name uncultured bacterium. Its description in RNAcentral is "bacterial SSU rRNA". It matches the Rfam family "Bacterial small subunit ribosomal RNA", at positions 8 to 644 of the family's 1533-position model. The record is from RNAcentral.